RNA transcript from Myzus persicae (green peach aphid), 1333 nucleotides. It is a transcript of the gene named putative nuclease HARBI1, with no coding region annotated. Lineage: Eukaryota; Metazoa; Arthropoda; Insecta; Hemiptera; Aphididae. The transcript is spliced from 2 exons. The record is from RefSeq and is a predicted model, not a curated record.
UAAAAAGAUAAAAAAAUGUCAGUUUUUUCCUACUUUGUUAUAAAAUAUUAAAUGUUUCGGCCUUUGCUGCGUAUAUUAUUCCAAGACUACAAAAUUACAAAAACCAAUAAGAUUAUGUCUUUUCUACCAGCUACCAUUUACUCUGCUUCAAAGGAGAAAAAUGCCAAAAAGGCAGAAAAACUAAUAAGAACUAAGAACCAUUGUAUGUCAACUGUCAAGUAAGCAAAUGCCUUAGGUAUUGAACCAUAGUUCUAAUAAUUUGUUAAGACACAACAUUAAAAACCGUCGAUUGUGUACUAAAUAUUCAUUAGUUUACUCUGUCAAAAUGGUUUCCUCUUUGCAACAGUUGUGUGUGCCAUAUUUCCAUCUGUAAUAUAAAAAUAUAAUUAUUUAAUUCAAGGUUUCAAUAAACUGUAAAUGUAUUGUUUUCAAAUGAACAACUAAGGAAAUCUCUAUAUAUAGGUUUCUAUCAUUUUUUAACCUCAUCAUUGAGAUGUUGUAACUGGUCUUAGUAAUAUUGUGAGCACAAAAAAAAAUUAAAAUUUGGGAGGUCUUCACUGUAUAGAAAGCCAAUGGUAGGUACAGCUAUAAUGGUCUUUCCAUUGCUUUUCUUUGUAUCGAUCUAUGUUUUAUUGUUAGAGGAAUAUUAUUUUUGCUGCAACGCCAAACUGUGUUACUUUUUACUUGGUUUGGCGCUAGGAAUUUAGCUAAAAAUAUACAAAUUACUUAACAUUGAGCUUUUUUACAGACAAGAAUAUGCGGAGCAAUAACAUAUCCAGUUUAGCACUCACGCGAAUUUUUUUUGAUAAACCUUUGUAUAUCAAUGAGUUUUGAACGAUGGUGCAAAAAUGAAUUGACAGAAAUCAUUAGUUAUGAUUUCUGUCAAUACGUUAAAGGGACUGUAAAAACGUUUCGCACUCUCUUGAGAUUGAUUGAAGCAGAUAUAUCUCCGCCUUCUCACAGGUAUAGUUUUUUGUAACGGAGCAAUAUUAGCACCAGAUAAGUUAUACAUGAUGCUAAAGUAUAGGUUGCAACAAGAUCAUUUUUGUAAACUGUGGCGGACUGCAAUGGAGUUAGGUACUGGAGCCUGUGAAUCCUCAGCUUGUCGACACAUUCGGCAGGUUUGUAGAGCCAUAGCAAGGUAUUGGUCAAAAUUCAUUUAUUUUCCAAAAAAUGCAGUUGACAUGAGGAAAGUAGUCAGUGGAUUUUACAACCGUUGUAGAUUUCCUAGAGUGAUUAGAGCUGUAGAUUGCACUCACAUAAAAAUUCACCAUCACUCGGUAAGCAAAAAAAACCUUAUAAAAUUAUGAACUACUAACUAGGUUGUCAUAAA